This 683-nucleotide ribosomal RNA is filed under the name Bacillus sp. CSu3_18. Its description in RNAcentral is "bacterial SSU rRNA". It matches the Rfam family "Bacterial small subunit ribosomal RNA", at positions 45 to 711 of the family's 1533-position model. The record is from RNAcentral. Lineage: Bacteria; Bacillati; Bacillota; Bacilli; Caryophanales; Bacillaceae.
UGCCUAUACAUGCAAGUCGAGCGGACAGAUGGGAGCUUGCUCCCUGAUGUUAGCGGCGGACGGGUGAGUAACACGUGGGUAACCUGCCUGUAAGACUGGGAUAACUCCGGGAAACCGGGGCUAAUACCGGAUGCUUGUUUGAACCGCAUGGUUCAAACAUAAAAGGUGGCUUCGGCUACCACUUACAGAUGGACCCGCGGCGCAUUAGCUAGUUGGUGAGGUAACGGCUCACCAAGGCAACGAUGCGUAGCCGACCUGAGAGGGUGAUCGGCCACACUGGGACUGAGACACGGCCCAGACUCCUACGGGAGGCAGCAGUAGGGAAUCUUCCGCAAUGGACGAAAGUCUGACGGAGCAACGCCGCGUGAGUGAUGAAGGUUUUCGGAUCGUAAAGCUCUGUUGUUAGGGAAGAACAAGUACCGUUCGAAUAGGGCGGUACCUUGACGGUACCUAACCAGAAAGCCACGGCUAACUACGUGCCAGCAGCCGCGGUAAUACGUAGGUGGCAAGCGUUGUCCGGAAUUAUUGGGCGUAAAGGGCUCGCAGGCGGUUUCUUAAGUCUGAUGUGAAAGCCCCCGGCUCAACCGGGGAGGGUCAUUGGAAACUGGGGAACUUGAGUGCAGAAGAGGAGAGUGGAAUUCCACGUGUAGCGGUGAAAUGCGUAGAGAUGUGGAGGAACACCA